GGCAGAAACCACACCAGCUCUUACGAAGAGCCAGAGCAGGCAGACAACGAUCACCUGAGUACCACCCUCUCUCUUCUUGGCUGAAGAGGGCAAAAGGCUCCACAUGACACAAUCCUGCACUUUAACACUUAAAAUGCAAACAAGAAGUUUUACCCAGGACGUACACACCGUCACAGCAGACAGUGGAGCGUGAUCGACACCCUAGGAGCUCAGGGGAGAGGGCGCUGCUGGCCCAGAGGGAGAGAGAAGCCUGUGGAACAGACGGCCCUGAACCCGGGUUGGCAGGACAGGUCGCCUUUUCCAGAACAUUUUGGAGGUGGCGAGACAGAUGUAGGAUCUGGGACAGAACUCGGUUUUGAAUUGCAGCUCUAGUGCUCGGUAGUUGUGUGUCUCAGACAGGUUCCGCACUUCUCUGUGCUCAUUCCAUCAGCCUCACAAUGGGGACCACGACUGUCCCUGUCCAGGGACAGCCAAAACCUGGAACACUGGCCAGUGUCCCGCCGACUGCCGCCUCCACAUUGACUGUACUGCUCCUCCUUGCCCUCACUGUCUCCACCAGGGUCUUUUGGGUGGGGGUGCAGGCCUGCCUGGCCCUCGACCCCGCUUCCUGCUUGGACCUAGCUGUUUCUAGAUCUUCCUGUGGGAGAUUCUUUCCCAUCAUGUAGUCUCAGCUGAAAUAUUACCUCCCGCCAAGGGGCCUUUUCAGGGCACCUCUGCCUCACCCUAUUUCGCUGUUCCAUUUUCCUUUGUUCAUAGCAGGUCUCAGUCCUGAAAUCACUUAUUACUUUAUACUCACUGGCUUAUGUUUUCAUUAUCUGUCUUCCCCUCAGUGACUGUUGCCUCAUGGAGAUAUUCUGUCUGUUGCUCACAUCUACUCGGUACCCAGCACAGUAAGCACACGACAGGCCCUCAGUAAGUGCUGCCCUUCCUUGGAGCCAGAGACUGGCCUCUGAUGACCCUGGCAAGGUUGGAGGGCUGGCGAGGAAAAGUGAGAAGCCAAUUUAUCUCAAGGCUCCAGUCCUGAAUUCCCAGAGAGCUCCAUGGCCACGCCUGGAAAUGGGGACUGAGGAGUCGGAGCACCUGGUGAGGACCAGGAAGGUCCAUCCUGGUGCUCAACAGAAGUUUGUUGGAUCCAUGCGUGGAUGGGUGGAUGCAUGGAUGGAUGGAUGGACAAACAGGCAGAUUGAGAGUGGAAGGCGGAGCAGUGGUUGGCCAGUGACCAGGGGACCAGUGAACCUACCGGUAAAGCCUGAACAAGCUGUUUAAUGUCUGAAUGGGAAAACACUUCUUCCUCUCCUUGAUGCAGUGACUCCGUUUCCCUGUCUGUGGGAGGCAUCGCUUCCUGGGCAGCUGGAAAUAAAAUCACAGACAGGAAAACAAAAUCACCUUCUGGCUCGCAGCAAUCCAAGACACCAAUCUUCAAAAGGAGUCAGCAAAAGUACGCCCUCCCAGUACUGCUCCAGUGGUCUGCACACACCCAGGAGAAAAACUAGAAAAAAAGUCCUAUCAUUUAUAUGGAACCAGAAGAGAUGCAGAAUAGCAAAAUUAAUCCUGAGCAACAAGAGCAAAGCAGGAGGCAUCACAAUCCCAGAUUUCAAGUUAUAUUGCAAAGCCACAGAGAUACAAAAACAGCACGGUACGGGCACAAAGACAGACAUGAAGGUCAAGGGAAAAGAAUAGAGAUGCAGAAACAACCCCAGGCACAUUCAGCCAUCUGAUCUUCAACAAAGAAACCAAAAACAUACACUGGAGGAAAGACAGUCUCUUUAACAAAUGGUGAUGGGAAAACUGGUUAUCCACAUGCAGAAGAUUGAAUCUAGAUCAGAAUCUCUCACUGUGUACCAAAAUCAAAUCAAAAUGGUUCAAAGACAUAUUUAAGAAAACACAAAAUCUGCUGCAAGACUAUAUUAAUUACUUUCUUGUUGCUGAGACACAAUACUUGACACCUGUAAUGUAAAUGAGGAGAGAUUUAUUUUGGUUCAUGGUUUGAAUUCAUGAUCUGCUGGCUCCACAGCAGAAGCAACACAGUGGAAGGACGUACUGAAGGAAAUUGGCUCAGGUUAUGCCAUCCAGGAAGCAGAGGGAGAAGGAAAGGAGAAAAACCCUUCCAGGUCAUGCGUCCUGUAACAUGCCUCUUUUUUGUUUGUUUGUUUUGUUUGUAACAUGCCUCUUCCAACCAGGAUCACUUCUUAACAGCAAGUCAGCUGUAUUGCUCCCAUGAUCCAAUCUUCUUCCAAAAGCUUCACUUUAUAAGCACAUGAAGCCUUUGGGAAACAUCAGGAUAUAAGCCAUAACAAAGCUAAAAGUCGUAAACUCUUGAUGGCACAGCAUCCCAAUUACACAAGAAACAAUACUGACAAUCACAGAUGGGAUCAUAUCAAAUUAAAAAGCUUCUGCAUAGCAAAGCAGACAACCAACAGAAUGAAGAGACAACCUACAGAAAGGGAGAAAAUUGCCAACUACUCCUCAAAGGACUAAUAUCUAGUAUAUAAAAGAACGAAAAAGAAUUAGACCUCCCCAAAUAAAAGACCCAACCAAAAAGUGGGGAGCUGAGCUGGGGAUUUAGCUCAGUGGUCCAGUGCCUGUCUUGCAAGCACAAGUUCCCGAGUUUGAUCCCCAGUACCAAAAAAAAAUGGGGAGCUGAAAUGAAUAGACACUUCUCAAAUGAAGUACAAAUGGCCAGUGAUUACAUUAAAAAGAGCUCAACAUCUUUGUCCAUUAGAGAAAUGCAAAUGAAAACAACACUGAGAUUGUAUCUUACUCCAGAAAGAAUGGCUAUCACCAAGAAAUCAAAUAAUAACAAAUGCUAGCAAGGCUGGAGGGAAAAGGGAACUCUUAUUGUUAGUGGGAAUGUAAACUAGUACAACCACUGUGGAAAUCAGUAUGGAGAUUCCUCAAAAAACUAAACCUAGAAAAUACUAAACCUUCUAGAUACUGUAUCUUCCCAAAAGAUUUAAAGACACUGUAUUACAGUGGUCCGUGAACACCCGUGUUUACAGCAGCCCAACUCAUAAUAGCUAAAUCUUGGAAGUUGCCUACAGUCCCAUCAACAGAUGAAUGGAUAAAGAAAAUAUGAUAUAUAUACACCAUGGAGUACUACCCAAACAUACAUAAAGAAGGAUAACUUUGAGUCACUCAUGGGAAAAUGGAUAGAACCAUCAUGCUAAACUAAAUAAAUCAGAUACAGAAGGUUAAAUAUCACAUGGUUUCUCUUAUAUGAGAAACCCAAAGUAUAAAUAAUUUAGGAGCAAAAUAAAUGAUAAACAAUAAAAAACAGAGAGUAGAAACAGGGAGAUCUGAGGACAGGGAGAGACAGGAGGGGUGGCAGAGGAAGGGGAAAUAGGAUCAAGAAACAAUGCGUAUAUGUACCAAUUCCCCACGAUGAAUACAUUCAUUGUGUAUGGCAAAUGUAUAAAAAGGGGGAGAAGAAAAAACCUCAAAUCUACUAGUAUUAUUUUAAUAUUGAAUUACAUAUGGAGCUGGAAGGCACCACAGUCUUCAGUAACUAGGGCUCCUUGAUGUAUUAAUCUGGUUAUGGGAAAACUACGCUAGAGCCAUAGGUAGGAGGGAACCGAAGAGCACCGGCCCCGCGCGCAAGCGCUCUCAGGCGCUGGCCACGGGAGCUGGGACACAAGGUUGGUGUCCGCGGAAGUCGCGGUGGACGCGUGCUCUCCGCGCCGCGUGAGGCUGCUUGGGCCCGGAGGGGACAGCCAGCCUCGUGAGGAGCGGGGCGCGGGCUGUGGGCCGAGGACUCCCAAGAGCAGCGCUCAAGCAGAGCGGCGGCAUGCGCAGGUUUGUUUUCAGACAGAAGCCCUGGAAGGAGGUUGGGGUGGCAAUGGAUGAAAGAGAAAGUACUGACCAGAAGCUUAAAGGCCCUGUGGAGAGAGGACCAAGGCCCCAGGCGCUGGGAGAUGCACAGCCGGGGGCGUGAGCGCCCCUCUGAGGUGAGUGGGGGACCUCGCCCUUAGGGGGCGAGGAAGCCAGGGCAAAGGCUACUUCCUUUGCUGCCACUUCCGGCCGCGCCGCUCAUCCGCAUCCGGUCCGAGCCUCGCCUCCGCUGCGCACGGGCUGCACGUGGCAGGGGAUCCUCCCGUUGCCUCUCGCAACGGCUAGGCCCUCGCUGACCGGGGAGAGGCGUGCGGAAGACCACGGUGGACCGGAGAAGGAACGGAGCCGGCCGCGGAGGCUCCUGGGGCGUCAGCAAGAGACCCUUCCCAGAGUGAUGCAGGCCCAGCGCUCUGGACCGCCUGGGCGCUGAGCUGGAGGUCAGCAGAGGAGGGGCAGAGGGCGACAGCCCGACACGGGACAGGGAAGGGUGAAUCAGAAUGUGCAUGUCGAGGGAAGCAGGGGGACUCAAACAAGGCCCCCAGAUACACAACCAGGAGAUGGCCAAAGGUUCAAAGUCUCACCUGGUUGCUGCCCUCAUCUACAUAAGAAAGCGAGUAUAGCUGGUUGUGGUGGCACACACCUGUACUCCCAGCACUCUGGGAUGCUGAGGCAGGAGGGUCACCAGUUCAAGCCCAGGUUGGGGAAGUUACUGACAUAGUGAGGCCCUGACUCAAAAUAAAAAAGGACUAGAGUUACAGCUCAGCGCCAAGGAACAGGGUUCGAUCCCUAGUACGAAAGAGAAAGUACAUUUUCAAGGAAUUUCAGACACAAGACUAAAAAGCCAAAGCAACGUGUGGGCCCCUCCUGUGGCCGUGCACCAUUAGGAGAGAGGAGGGGGAAGAGGUUCCUCUGAGCCAUAGACUGCUCUUCCUGAACCUCAAAACUGAAACUCAACUACUGCCUACCAGGAAGAACAAAAGGAAAAAGAUCUGAUUCCCAGAAGCAAUGAUGAAAUACCUUGUAAAAAGUUUAUUAAAUGUUUAGUAAAUGAGACACCACACACGCAUAUGAACAGUCACACACACAAGCACACAUGUGCACACAAUCACAAUUUAAAUGGGGCCCAGACAUUAGGUUAAGAACACCCCUGGAGAGUGCUAGCAGGCAAAGGCUGAGAGCUCUUUCAUUUUGCUUCCUCAACAGGAAGCGAGUGGAUUUGGGAGAAGCUCCCUUCCGUCCAGCCAUCCUGCUGGCAGCAAAGCUGGGAAGGACUUCCUGACCACUGUCCCAGCCUCAGGAAGUGUGUUAACAGCCACACUGCUUAAAUGCGUAAAAAAGUCCAGAACACUUCAAGGCCGUGUUUGUUCCUGUGGGAAUGUCAUGAGAAUUUAAGACCUUUCCCUUUGGGCUGAGGGAUCUGGCCCACUUCCCACAGCUCUAGGAACCUUAUUUCCCUGGUCAGUGUUUUGCAUUUGCAAUUGCAGAUAAUGCUCUCUCAUUAAUACUGGCAGGAAGGGGCUGGGGAUUUAGCUCAAUGGUUCUGCCACCCGCCUUGCAAGCGCAAGGUCCUGAGUUCAAUCCCCGGUACCAAAAAAAAAAAAAAAAAAAAAUACUGGCAGGAAGCUCCCCUGGGUUGGCAAAGAGGAUACUUUGCACCCUCCACAAAUCCUGGUCGGACUGCAGAGUCCAACCGAGUCACCUGUGUCAUCUGUGCGUGCAGUUUGGCCAUGGUUCUGACAGGUGGACUCAGACAUCCUUGGAAAUGAAGUGAGAUUAUUUGGAACCCAAGAAGGAAGUGCAGGUUUCCUAAACUGCCACAUACAAUGACUUUUGUUUUCCUGUUGGACUGAGAAAAGUACAAAACCAGUUGGUUGCUGGACCUUUGUUAACUGAAAACCUGAUUUACCAGGGGAGAAAUGUUUGGAAUGCUCUGACCACAAAAGGAUUCUGCAGCUACAGAUGCCUUCAAAAGAGGUCUGGGACUGUGCCAGCAAAAGAGAAAGAACACAUCCACUUUCCUCCAUGGAGAGCUGGGCCUUGGUGUCCAGAGUAUCUGGGACUCUGGUAGCAGACACCUUUCCCUCCCAGCCCUCAAAGACAAGACAGGAAGGGCUCCACUGUUUCUGAACACGAGCUCCGGAGAAGAUGCCCUAGUGGGGAGAGAACCUUCAAACCACAAGAACCUUUUCCAAAACUGAGGGAUUCUUUCUCUGUUUAUAGUAAAAUGCCGGAACACAUGGCACGGUGCUGCUCAGAAACUACCCAAGACAAAGAUCCCUGGGGUUUCUGUUCUCCAGCAACUCUUGGACCCUUCAGCCAAAUACAGACAUCUAACACACAUGCAUCUAACACACAGGUAGACAUCUAACACAUAUACACAUCUAACAUACACAUAGACAUUUAACACACAUACACAAUCUAACACACACAUAUAGACAUCUAAAAAACAUAAAUACUUAUAGAACAAGGAUUAUGUAUAGACUAAAACAAGGGAGAGUGUAGGAUAUGUGAUCAAACUAUAUGAUGAGUGAUUAAAAAAACAUAGGGCCAGGGAUUUACCACAAUGGCACUGCUCCUGCCUCCCAAGUGCAAGGCCCUGAGUUCGAUCCCCGAUACCCAAAAAACAAAAAACAACAAAAAAUAUAGUAAGAGACACUUGCCACUAACCCCUCUCAAUAUACUCCUCAAAUUGAACACACUUAUACCAUCGUUCUUGCCACUUUCUGAAGCAGUUCUGGGAGUCUUCUUUCAUGUCUAUAUGAACACUGCUACUGAAAUGCCAUAAAUACAAAGCAGCCUCUUAAAAACAUGAUGGUGUGAGGGGAUGAAAAAGAAUUAAGAUGUGUUGUGGGGGCCAGGGAUUUAGCUCAGUGGUUUUGCUGCCUGCUGCGCAAGCAGAGUGACCCAAGUUCAAUCCCCGGUACCAAAACCAAACAAAACGAUGUGUACAUGUACCAACUCCCUAUGAUGAUUGUAAUCAUUAUGUACUGCGAACAUGAAGUAAUAAAAAUUGGAGACUUCCAGGAAGAUGGUGGAAUGGUGAACAGCAGAGAAAUAGUCUCUCCAAGAUUUGAUGUCCCGAUGCUGGAAUAUAGCAAUGUGAAGAACAGAAAAAGGGAGAUAGGUCCCCGGGCCCAGCAAGGAUCUGAAGUGAGAAUUGAACCCCAUGGGGAGAGUAAA
Molecule: non-coding RNA, 7008 nt
Organism: Heterocephalus glaber (naked mole-rat)
Lineage: Eukaryota; Metazoa; Chordata; Mammalia; Rodentia; Bathyergidae
Source: RefSeq, a predicted model, not a curated record